RNAcentral lists this ribosomal RNA (253 nucleotides) under uncultured bacterium. RNAcentral describes it as "partial 16S ribosomal RNA". It matches the Rfam family "Bacterial small subunit ribosomal RNA", at positions 524 to 776 of the family's 1533-position model. The record is from RNAcentral.
UACGUAGGGCGCAAGCGUUGUCCGGAAUUAUUGGGCGUAAAGAGCUCGUAGGCGGCCUGUUACGUCUGCUGUGAAAUCCCGGGGCUUAACCCCGGGCGUGCAGUGGAUACGGGCAGGCUGGAGGCAGGCAGGGGAGAACGGAAUUCCCGGUGUAGCGGUGAAAUGCGCAGAUAUCGGGAAGAACACCCGUGGCGAAGGCGGCACGGUGGGACGGUACUGACGCUGAGACGCGAAAGCGUGGGGAGCGAACAGG